GCGUCAGAGUUGCGAUAGCGCUCUGGGCGACCCUAGUGGUCAGCCAGCUCAACCCGCCUAGGCAAAUACAUUACGAGGUUCAUCGUAGGCGAGUAACAAUAGCGAAAGCCGAGCGUGAC
Molecule: small RNA, 119 nt
Filed under: Vibrio aestuarianus
Lineage: Bacteria; Pseudomonadati; Pseudomonadota; Gammaproteobacteria; Vibrionales; Vibrionaceae
Description: RT-10
Rfam family: Bacteriophage Diversity-Generating Retroelement RNA
Source: RNAcentral